AUUGAACGCUGGCGGCAUGCCUUACACAUGCAAGUCGAACGGCAGCGGGGACUUCGGUCCGCCGGCGAGUGGCGAACGGGUGAGUAAUGUAUCGGAACGUACCAUUCAGUGGGGGAUAACUAUCCGAAAGGAUAGCUAAUACCGCAUAUUCUGUGAGCAGGAAAGCAGGGGAUCACAAGACCUUGCGCUUAUUGAGCGGCCGAUAUCAGAUUAGCUAGUUGGUGAGGUACCGGCUCACCAGGGCUACGAUCUGUAGCGGGUCUGAGAGGAUGAUCCGCCACACUGGGACUGAGACACGGCCCAGACUCCUACGGGAGGCAGCAGUGGGGAAUUUUGGACAAUGGGCGCAAGCCUGAUCCAGCCAUGCCGCGUGAGUGAAGAAGGCCUUCGGGUUGUAAAGCUCUUUCGGCCGGGAAGAAAUCGCAUCAGCUAAUACCUGGUGUGGAUGACGGUACCGGAAUAAGAAGCACCGGCUAACUACGUGCCAGCAGCCGCCGCCG
This 500-nucleotide ribosomal RNA is filed under the name uncultured bacterium. RNAcentral's name for it is "partial 16S ribosomal RNA". It matches the Rfam family "Bacterial small subunit ribosomal RNA", at positions 30 to 523 of the family's 1533-position model. The record is from RNAcentral.